CACGUAGGCGGAUGUGUCAGUCAGGGGUGAAAUCCCGGAGCUCAACUUCGGAACUGCCUUUGAUACAGCACGUCUUGAGUCCGAUAGAGGUGGGUGGAAUUCCUAGUGUAGAGGUGAAAUUCGUAGAUAUUAGGAAGAACACCGGUGGCGAAGGCGGCCCACUGGAUCGGUACUGACGCUGAGGUGCGAAAGCGUGGGGAGCAAACA
Molecule: ribosomal RNA, 207 nt
Filed under: uncultured bacterium
Lineage: Bacteria
Description: partial 16S ribosomal RNA
Rfam family: Bacterial small subunit ribosomal RNA
Source: RNAcentral